RNAcentral lists this ribosomal RNA (428 nucleotides) under uncultured archaeon. RNAcentral's name for it is "bacterial SSU rRNA". It matches the Rfam family "Archaeal small subunit ribosomal RNA", at positions 474 to 903 of the family's 1478-position model. The record is from RNAcentral.
UACCUGCAGCUCGAGUGGUAACCGCUAUUAUUGGGCCUAAAGCGUCCGUAGCCGGUUUGGUAAAUAUCUGGGUAAAUCGUGAGGCUUGACUUCACGAAUUUCGGAUAGACUGCCAGACUUGGGAUCGGGGGAGGUCAGAGGUACUCCAGGGGUAGCGGUGAAAUGUUGUAAUCCUUGGAGGACCACCGGUAGCGAAGGCGUCUGACUAGAACGAGUCCGACGGUGAGGGACGAAGCCCUGGGGCGCAAACCGGAUUAGAUACCCGGGUAGUCCAGGGUGUAAACGAUGUGGGCUUUGUAUUGGAGGUCCCACGUGGGCGUCCAGUGCAGAAGAGAAGUUGUUAAGCCCACCGCCUGGGAAGUACGGUCGCAAGGCUGAAACUUAAAGGAAUUGGCGGGGAGCACAGCAACGGGAGGAGCGUGCGGUUU